This 300-nucleotide long non-coding RNA is filed under the name Homo sapiens (human). Its description in RNAcentral is "non-protein coding lnc-PSMC3IP-2:2". The record is from RNAcentral. Lineage: Eukaryota; Metazoa; Chordata; Mammalia; Primates; Hominidae.
GUAGCUGAAGUCUGGGUUAGUGGGACCAUUUUCAUAAGGAAUGUUUUGCUUUUCAAAAAGCAAAACCCAGGCAAUUCUGCUUGCUGAGCUGUGGGAUACUGACCUUUUUGGCUGUCUUGGGCCGCUACGUCCCUGGGCUUCUGCUGUCCUACUUGAUGUUGUCACUGUCAUGAUGUGGCCCCUUGCUGUGUACCACCGACUGUGGGAUCGAGCAUAUGUGCGGCUGAAGCCAGCUCUGCAGCGGCUAGACUUCAGUGUCCGUGGCUACAUGAUGUCCAAGCAGAGAGAGAGACAAUGUAA